UUGUCUCAAAGAUUAAGCCAUGCAUGUCUCAGUACAAGCCGAAUUAAGGUGAAACCGCGAAAGGCUCAUUAAAUCAGUUAUGGUUCCUUAGAUCGUACCCACAUUUACUUGGAUAACUGUGGUAAUUCUAGAGCUAAUACAUGCAAACAGAGCUCCGACCGGAGACGGGAGGAGUGCUUUUAUUAGAUCAAAACCAAUCGGCGGCGGGCGCGCUCGCGCGUCCGUUCGCCGCUCAACCUGGUGACUCUGAAUAACUUUCCGCUGAUCGCACGGUCUCGCACCGGCGACGCAUCUUUCAAAUGUCUGCCUUAUCAACUGUCGAUGGUAGGUUCUGCGCCUACCAUGGUCGUAACGGGUAACGGGGAAUCAGGGUUCGAUUCCGGAGAGGGAGCCUGAGAAACGGCUACCACAUCCAAGGAAGGCAGCAGGCGCGCAAAUUACCCACUCCCGGCACGGGGAGGUAGUGACGAAAAAUAACGAUACGGGACUCAUCCGAGGCCCCGUAAUCGGAAUGAGUACACUUUAAAUCCUUUAACGAGGAUCAAUUGGAGGGCAAGUCUGGUGCCAGCAGCCGCGGUAACUCCAGCUCCAAUAGCGUA
RNAcentral lists this ribosomal RNA (599 nucleotides) under Herophydrus sp. BMNH 681456. RNAcentral describes it as "SSU rRNA". It matches the Rfam family "Eukaryotic small subunit ribosomal RNA", at positions 32 to 601 of the family's 1831-position model. The record is from RNAcentral. Lineage: Eukaryota; Metazoa; Arthropoda; Insecta; Coleoptera; Dytiscidae.